UCCUACGGGAGGCAGCAGUGGGGAAUAUUGCACAAUGGAGGAAACUCUGAACCAGCAACGCCGCGUGAGUGAAGACGGUUUUCGGAUUGUAAACCUCUGUCCUCUGUGAAGAUAAUGACGGUAGCAGAGGAGGAAGCUCCGGCUAACUACGUGCCAGCAGCCGCGGUAAUACGUAGGGAGCGAGCGUUGUCCGGAUUUACUGGGUGUAAAGGGUGCGUAGGCGGGUUAGCAAGUCAG
Molecule: ribosomal RNA, 237 nt
Filed under: uncultured bacterium
Lineage: Bacteria
Description: partial 16S ribosomal RNA
Rfam family: Bacterial small subunit ribosomal RNA
Source: RNAcentral